GGAGUACACUCAGCUUGGACCCACAAGUCUUAACCCUGGCUUCUGCUCAAAACUACACCAACAGCACAUUUGGCUCCUUCCCCACAAGGCCUUGCAGGAACAAGGGAUGAGGCUGUUUGGUCAAAGACAGCAGGUAUGCACGUCACAUGUCCUGGCCCAGGGAUGGUGUCAGCCAAGGUGCACUCAGGACUAUAGCUUCUCAUUUCUGUACAUCUGCCAUAAGAGGACACAUUCUUCCUGUUCAGACAAAGCCACCGUGUGUGCUCACAGGAGCCCUAGGACUGGCCCAGAGGAAGCAGAGUGUGGCACACAGGAGCAGAGCUUCCCCAGCAAAGAUGCUGGCUGGAGCAGCAGUGAGCACAAAUGAUGUAUCUCCUCCUAUGGAAGAGCACUGCAGAGUUAAGUCCCUUCAUCCUAGACAGCAAGGCUUGGACCUUUCAAAGUUGCAGGAUCAACCACAGCUUCAGGACGAGCAAUUCUCAUUCAGCCAAAAGCCUACACAAGCAAUAUCUACAGAGAUUGCCAUGUGCUACAUCCCAACAAGGGGCCAAUCUGUAUCUGCAUGGUGGAAAUGAAAUGUGGAAGCGGCUGGCUAUUCUCAGAUCCUCCAGAGUCAUGGAAUCACUCAAGUUCAGACCAGGAACAAGUAUGGGACCCUCUAAGAG
Molecule: long non-coding RNA, 665 nt
Organism: Heterocephalus glaber (naked mole-rat)
Lineage: Eukaryota; Metazoa; Chordata; Mammalia; Rodentia; Bathyergidae
Source: Ensembl